CUGUGGGAAGCUCGGCCCGGCGCGGUUUCAUCCUUCACCCCAAGGGGAGUGGGGAGUGCGGGGCCGGCCCGCUCGCUCGGUGGCCUUUGCUCCUUUCUUCUCAGUCUCAGCUCCUCGUUGCAGCCGCUCGGCUCCCCGGCGCAGGUGCACCUGGCAAGGCCAGUGGGUAGCCGCGCCGCCAGCCGGCUGCCGGGGGCUCCGAGGCAAAGUGCACCCCGCGGUCCCGCCUGCACCCCGAGACCCCGGGACCCGGGGUGCGGGCGCCACCUGGACGGAGCGCUUCGCCCUUCAGGCUUCCGCCCGCAGGUGGCAGCAGCGGGCUCCGGAGCGGGGCUCGGCGCGCGGCUCAGGCGGGCCCCGGGAGCGCCUGCACGACUCCCUCCCGGCGGGCGCGGGCCGCGGAGGCCGAGGGCCGGGGUCGGCUCCGGAGGCUCUGAUUUCUGGCGCGGAAACAGUGGGAAGCAGCCGCGCGGCCGCCCGCGGGGGGUCCCCGAGUCCCCGGCAGCAUCCCCGUGCCCGCCCGGGUCACCCCCCGGGGCUCCCCGAGCGGCCGGGACGGCGCGGCUGCACCCCCGCCCCCUCCCCCCCCCUCCCUCCCGCAGCGGCGCGUCUCUAACCCCCGUCUCCAUCCCGUCUCCGCGGACCCCCGGCUGCGCACACUUCGCGGGCGCCUCGGGCUCGGCGGCGGGAGCGGGACCGGCGCCCCCCGCGCCCCCCGCGCCCCUCCGCGUCCCCCUGCGCCCUCGGCGGCAGCCCGGCCAGAAGUUUCGGUGUCGGGAGCGGCUCCGCGGGCGCGGGGAGGGGCGCGCGGCGGCCCCGGCGUCUCGCAGCGGGAGGGAGCGCGGAGCCCGGGCGCCGAGCGGCGGCGGGAGGGGCGCGGGAGGGGGAGGGGCGGGGAGGGGAGGGGGGAGGGGGAGGGGCGGGGGCGCGCGCUCCUGCCGCCCCCGGAGCCGCCGCCGAGCGCGCGGGGCGAGCGGGCGCGGGGAGCGGCGGGGGCGCCCCUGGGCGGCCAGAUGCCCGUGGGCGCGGCGGCGCUCCGAGGCUGCGGCUGCUGCCCCUGCGGGCCCGGGCGCGGCGCGGCGCGUGCGGCGAGCGGGCGGACGGAGGUGCGGCGGGCGCGGCUGGAGCCGGAGCCGGAGCUGGAGCUGGAGCUGGAGCUGCCGCCGCCGCCGCCGCCGCCGCGCCUGCAGGUCCUAA
This 1197-nucleotide long non-coding RNA is filed under the name Canis lupus familiaris (dog). RNAcentral's name for it is "lncRNA (ENSCAFG00845000035.1)". Lineage: Eukaryota; Metazoa; Chordata; Mammalia; Carnivora; Canidae. The record is from RNAcentral.